Molecule: transfer RNA, 56 nt
Filed under: Zieria veronicea subsp. veronicea
Lineage: Eukaryota; Viridiplantae; Streptophyta; Magnoliopsida; Sapindales; Rutaceae
Description: partial tRNA-Gln
Rfam family: tRNA
About the family: Transfer RNA (tRNA) molecules are approximately 80 nucleotides in length. Their secondary structure includes four short double-helical elements and three loops (D, anti-codon, and T loops).
Source: RNAcentral
GGUAAGGCAACGGGUUUUGAUCCCGGUAUUCGGAGGUUCGAAUCCUUCCGUCCCAG